This 1372-nucleotide ribosomal RNA is filed under the name uncultured bacterium. Its description in RNAcentral is "bacterial SSU rRNA". It matches the Rfam family "Bacterial small subunit ribosomal RNA", at positions 28 to 1381 of the family's 1533-position model. The record is from RNAcentral.
GAUGAACGCUGGCGGCGUGCCUAAUACAUGCAAGUCGAGCGAACGGACGAGAAGCUUGCUUCUCUGAUGUUAGCGGCGGACGGGUGAGUAACACGUGGAUAACCUACCUAUAAGACUGGGAUAACUUCGGGAAACCGGAGCUAAUACCGGAUAAUAUUUUGAACCGCAUGGUUCAAAAGUGAAAGACGGUCUUGCUGUCACUUAUAGAUGGAUCCGCGCUGCAUUAGCUAGUUGGUAAGGUAACGGCUUACCAAGGCAACGAUGCAUAGCCGACCUGAGAGGGUGAUCGGCCACACUGGAACUGAGACACGGUCCAGACUCCUACGGGAGGCAGCAGUAGGGAAUCUUCCGCAAUGGGCGAAAGCCUGACGGAGCAACGCCGCGUGAGUGAUGAAGGUCUUCGGAUCGUAAAACUCUGUUAUUAGGGAAGAACAUAUGUGUAAGUAACUGUGCACAUCUUGACGGUACCUAAUCAGAAAGCCACGGCUAACUACGUGCCAGCAGCCGCGGUAAUACGUAGGUGGCAAGCGUUAUCCGGAAUUAUUGGGCGUAAAGCGCGCGUAGGCGGUUUUUUAAGUCUGAUGUGAAAGCCCACGGCUCAACCGUGGAGGGUCAUUGGAAACUGGAAAACUUGAGUGCAGAAGAGGAAAGUGGAAUUCCAUGUGUAGCGGUGAAAUGCGCAGAGAUAUGGAGGAACACCAGUGGCGAAGGCGACUUUCUGGUCUGUAACUGACGCUGAUGUGCGAAAGCGUGGGGAUCAAACAGGAUUAGAUACCCUGGUAGUCCACGCCGUAAACGAUGAGUGCUAAGUGUUAGGGGGUUUCCGCCCCUUAGUGCUGCAGCUAACGCAUUAAGCACUCCGCCUGGGGAGUACGACCGCAAGGUUGAAACUCAAAGGAAUUGACGGGGACCCGCACAAGCGGUGGAGCAUGUGGUUUAAUUCGAAGCAACGCGAAGAACCUUACCAAAUCUUGACAUCCUUCGACAACUCUAGAGAUAGAGCUUUCCCCUUCGGGGGACAAAGUGACAGGUGGUGCAUGGUUGUCGUCAGCUCGUGUCGUGAGAUGUUGGGUUAAGUCCCGCAACGAGCGCAACCCUUAAGCUUAGUUGCCAUCAUUAAGUUGGGCACUCUAAGUUGACUGCCGGUGACAAACCGGAGGAAGGUGGGGAUGACGUCAAAUCAUCAUGCCCCUUAUGAUUUGGGCUACACACGUGCUACAAUGGACAAUACAAAGGGCAGCGAAACCGCGAGGUCAAGCAAAUCCCAUAAAGUUGUUCUCAGUUCGGAUUGUAGUCUGCAACUCGACUACAUGAAGCUGGAAUCGCUAGUAAUCGUAGAUCAGCAUGCUACGGUGAAUACGUUCCCGGGUCU